Molecule: ribosomal RNA, 468 nt
Filed under: uncultured bacterium
Lineage: Bacteria
Description: partial 16S ribosomal RNA
Rfam family: Bacterial small subunit ribosomal RNA
Source: RNAcentral
GACGAACGCUGGCGGCGUGCUUAACACAUGCAAGUCGAACGGAAAGGCCCUGCUUUUGUGGGGUGCUCGAGUGGCGAACGGGUGAGUAACACGUGAGUAACCUGCCCUUGACUUUGGGAUAACUUCAGGAAACUGGGGCUAAUACCGGAUAGGAGCUCCUGCUGCAUGGUGGGGGUUGGAAAGUUUCGGCGGUUGGGGAUGGACUCGCGGCUUAUCAGCUUGUUGGUGGGGUAGUGGCUUACCAAGGCUUUGACUGGUAGCCGGCCUGAGAGGGUGAACGGCCACAUUGGUACUGAGGUACGGACCAGAGUCCUACGAGAGGCAGCAGUGGGGAAUAUUGCACAAUGAGCGGAAGCCUGAUGCAGCAACGCCGCGUGCGGGAUGACGGCCUUCGGGUUGAAAACCGCUUUCGCCUGUGACGAAGCGUGAGUGACGGUAAUGAGUAAAGAAGCACCGGCUAACUACGUG